AUGUACUAACCUCUAGUUUCUCUUAUACUUUUGCCUGCUACUUUGGCAUUCCAUCUAAAAAGGUACAAACAUCGCAUUGUCAAAAAAAGGUGGUUUUAGCACGUAGGCGCUGUGGGACUUCAUUGUCCCGAUGAUGCAGCGAAUCGUGCAUACGAGAUUGUCCAGAUGCCUCGUCAUCUAAUUAGUGACGCGCAUGAAUGGAUUAACGAGAUUCCUACUAUCCCUAUC
Drosophila willistoni is the source of this 228-nucleotide regulatory RNA element. It matches the Rfam family "R2 RNA element". From Rfam's summary of the family: This family represents the 3' UTR region of the R2 retrotransposable element. This family is known to interact with the R2-encoded reverse transcriptase in a reaction known as target primed reverse transcription (TPRT). The record is from Rfam. NCBI's taxonomy places the organism in Eukaryota, Metazoa, Arthropoda, Insecta, Diptera, Drosophilidae.